Molecule: transfer RNA, 84 nt
Filed under: Curvularia kusanoi
Lineage: Eukaryota; Fungi; Ascomycota; Dothideomycetes; Pleosporales; Pleosporaceae
Description: tRNA-Pro
Source: RNAcentral
GUCAUACAGCUAGUGGUAUGAUUCUCGCUUAGGGUACCUAAGUAAACGUGCGAGAGGCCCCGCGUUCGAGUCGCGGUAAGACCC